CAGAGACUGCAAGCGUUAUUCGGAGUUCACUGGGCGUAAAGGGUGCGCAGGCGGUUGGGUGUGUCAGAUGUCGGAAAUCCCGAGGCUUAACCUCGGAACUGCGUCUGAAACUACUCGACUAGAGUACUGGAGGAGGGUAACGGAAUUCACGGUGUAGCAGUGAAAUGCGUAGAUAUCGUGAGGAACACCAGAGGCGAAGGCGGUUACCUCGGACAGUUACUGACGCUCAGGCACGAAAGCAUGGGGAGCAAAAGGGAUUAGAUACCCCUGUAGUCCAUGCCCUAAACGGUGCACACUAGGUCUUAGCGGAUUCGACCCCACUAGGGCCCAAGCUAACGCGUUAAGUGUGCCGCCUGAGGACUACGGUCGCAAGACUA
RNAcentral lists this ribosomal RNA (377 nucleotides) under uncultured organism. Its description in RNAcentral is "bacterial SSU rRNA". It matches the Rfam family "Bacterial small subunit ribosomal RNA", at positions 526 to 896 of the family's 1533-position model. The record is from RNAcentral.